ACUUCCCUAAGCGUUGAAAAUGAAAGUCAAACGGGUGAAGCAUGCAAGGAGAUAUUUAACUUUGUUCAAAAAUUCCUUCGGGAUAUUUGAACCUUAUCAAAUUUUAGUUGACGGCACUUUCUGUCAGGCAGCACUGCAGACCAAGAUCAAUAUCAAGGAACAGCUUCCCAAAUACUUGGAUGGAUCUGUUCAGUUAUUGACAACAAAAUGUGUAAUAGAAGAAGGAAAGGCACUUGGUCCUCAGCUGGCAGGCGCUGUGCUGAUUUUAAAGAGAUUCCAGCUGCGGAAAUGUGGCCACCAUAAGGAAGCUGUGCCAGCUGCAGAAUGUAUUAUGAAUAUGAUAGGAACUGAAAAUAAAAAUGGCUACUUUGUGGCCUCACAAGACAGAACUCUAAGAAGUCAUCUGCAGAAAAUUCCAGGAGUACCACUUUUAUUUAUUAACCACAAUACAAUACUCCUGGAGAAACCUUCAAGGGCGUCUCAUCAAGCCUCUGACCAGGUUCAAAUUUCCCGUCUGCAGCCCUCUGCACACGAGAAAGAGACGUUAGUUCGACUGAAGGACUCCGCUACGGAUGCUCAACCGAAACGUAAACGGAAGAGGCCCGGGGGACCAAACCCUCUGUCCAUGUUGAAAAGCAAGAAGAGAAAGACUGGUGAUGAAACUAAGAAAAAGCGAAUCCGUAAAAGAAAAAGAAGAAAACUGGCCGAGCACGUACAACAAGCGCUGCAGGAACAGAUGACAGGAUGUUCUUCAUAAUCCAAGGUGAGAUAUUUUAUGGAGGCUCUGCGAGGUCGAGUGCAGAGUCAUCCAGAGGCCAAUGUCACUCGCCAAAACACGAAAAAAAGGAAAGGGAAGGAAGUUGUUGUGUAAAGACGUUUUAAUCCUACUCUGAAAAAAUGUUUCGCCCUAAUUUAUGCGCCUGCUGAAUCAGCAACCCUCAGGAUCGCAUGCCAAGACACGGAACAAUUAGAAUAUCAUUUUCAAAUUUUUUCACUUUCGUCCUCGGUAUUAUAAUUGACACCUUUCUCUGAGACGACCGAACGAAGACUUGUGAACGCGCUUAAGUCCUGAGACGAUUUUUUAGUCGAAGUAAUCUUCUUAAAAGGUCUUGAACUUUUUUUUUCCUUAUUAUUUAUUAACGUAGGUGUCUUAUUCACGAGUCAGUAGACUGGUUAAACGAAAACUGGAAAGUUGCCAUUAUUAUUUCAAUAGCAGCAGCUGUAGCUAUGGCACUGCUCUAAACAUUUUCAAAUUAAGUGAUGAGUUUGCGUAAACUUUGCACUAGUAAUUUCGCGACAUUUGAAUAUGAAAGAAUAAAAAAUUUUUCUAGUUAUUUUGAAGAUGGCAAUUAAUUCGAAAUUAAUCAGAGGUACCGAACACUUUGUUAUUGCAACAUACUGUUUUAAUUCUGUUGUGAUCAAAGUUUGUGGUAAUGUUUAUCUUUCUCGUUUUUCUUUAUUUUUUAAAGCGAAGAGGCCAAAUUUGGCGCAAAGCCAUGAUCUUAUAUCAGCCCUGGUUUUUUAGUGCACUACUUGUGGGUGGUUGGGCCGUGAUUUAGGUCAGCGCUCGUCGUAUGAACUGCGUUAGUCAGCGUAUGAUAAUUUUGGGUCAAUGUGAAGUCACGUCUAAAAACGAAAUUUACUGCUGAUCGCGUCGAACACAUGCUGCCCUGAAGAUACAUGUGAUAGUAGCGAACUCAAAGGAUUUCUUUGAGGGAGGGGAUACUAGGUCUGUGGCUAUUUCAGGGGGCUGUUGUGUCUCUGGGUUAUUUUUCUUUUGUUGUGCGCAAACCCGUAAUUCGAUUGUUUACAUAAAUUGCGUUCAGGAAAUUCCCAAGGUCGCGCCGAGCUUUGUCGCGAAGUACGUGAGUGUAGAAACUGCAAAAUGUCACCAUGAGUUAAUUUUACGAAUUUAGCAUUAGAGGGGGCCCCCUUUUGUUUUCAAUGACCGUGAAGUCAGUGGCAUGACAAGCCACCAAUCGCAGCUUGUCCAGAGGUGUCAAUCAAAAAUCCAGUUUAGGUAAGGCAAUAAAGUCGUGUGUUCGGCACGAGCGCGCAUCAGACCAUUUUAAAUCUUCCGAAGGCAUCAAAACAUUGUAAUCGAGAGAACACAAGCUUCUGGCGAAAACAAAACAUGUCUUAUCUCCAAAGUGCUGGUAUAUGGAUGGCAUCCACACUUUUUCUAUCACCUGACGAGUCUCCAUCACAGCGGAGAGCGUGCAUUGCGGUGGGAAGGGAGCUUCGAAAGAUCGCGGACGAUCUAGAAGCAUCCGCGAGACGGGAGAAAGUUAACAAUGAACAGGCCAUUGUUGUUGAUGCAAUCAAGGCUGUGUGUGCUGUUGCCGGUGUCUUCGUUGUUGGGAGACUUGUGUGGAAUCUGCUCAACACUUGAAAGCCUUUUUGUCGUGUUGUUUCACUCAUAAGAUGACACUGCGUAUUCACUUGCUAGCCCUGAGGAUGAUUGACUCGCACAGCGCAAGAAAAUAUUUUUAUUUCACGCAAUACGACACUCGCUUCGAGACUGGCACAUUAAGCACAGAACUGUGUUUGGUUUUGUACCUGAUGGCUCAUGUUUCAUCGCCCUAUUGUUGACAAACACAGGAUUAAAAGCACUGAGAAGCCUCCGCUUCACAGACCAGGAUGUCACAGCAGAGAGAACUAAAAUCGCUUUUCCAUAACAACAAAACGCAAGUCAUCCGUGGCCGGAAUCCGUGAAAGCCCGGCUUGACCAUAACUUCUAUUCAAGGAGAGACGCUCUGACUUUGUUUUAAAAAUUCCGCUUAAUUUAUCGAGCUUCGCUAAAAUAACAGCUAGUAAGUGACAUUCACGUACUGGCGUUAGCAUAUCGUAGUUUACUGUCACUGUAUAUUGCGCAGCUUUCAAACGAAGGUCAAAAUUUUAUUCGUCGAUCGACUGUCACCGAGAGAGGUUUUUUUUUUCAUCUUUUUAUUCGUCAGCGCUGACUGGCAGUAUUAGUUAAUUAAUAGACUGUGACUCGCGAAAUCAUUACUGAUAUUGCAUUUUCUGAAAGACACGCGCUUCUCGGGAAAAAAAAUUAGGGAAAAGAGUGAAAAAUCAUCGACCUUGACAUUUCUCUUCCGGAAACUUUUGUGAGGUGAUCGCUGAAGUCACGUUGCUCGGUUCGCUGGCGAACUGUUGUCGUAUGCUUGUGUGCUUCGAGCGAAAACACAAUUCUCUUCUAUGCUGUCGUGACAGAACAACAUAAACAUUUCACGUUCUUAUUUUCUUUCAUAUGCAAAUUUUUUAUCUGUUGUCGAUAUGUAUUGUUUUGAGAGAAAAGAAGAGAACUGAAAAGGUUUAGUUAGGUUACUGCUGUGUAGGAUCCCAGAUGCACGCUUUUAUCACGAAACCUUCGUGUUAGAGACGGUUACUUUUAUGGCAGGUACCAGACAUUUUCCAUGAUUAUUUCCAUUAUUAUUAAUAAUGUUCUUGUUGCCACAAAAAAACACAAAACAAUAGGAAAUAUAAAUAGAGCGCUUUUAUACAUUCAGCCCGUUAAAUUAAUCGAACUUGAGCAAUACUUUGUAAACUCUUGUAAAUAUCAAACUUUUUGUAAAUAAUCACCCAAAGUCGUAUGUAAAUAUGUAAAUAGCUUAAUGAUAUUAUUUCUAUAUACGCUGAAAAUGCGACAGAUUUGUAAUGUAAUGUUAAUUCGCCUUUCAAGGGUUUUUUACCUGCAGCUUAAAACUAGACAAUUCUAUGUGGCUGCGUGAAUUGCAUCAAUUCUUCUAUUUAAAAAAAAUGUUCCAGAGGUCUUAUUUUUGUAUUAAAAGAGGCUUCUUUAAGAAAAACUC
Molecule: unclassified non-coding RNA, 3815 nt
Filed under: Pocillopora damicornis (cauliflower coral)
Lineage: Eukaryota; Metazoa; Cnidaria; Anthozoa; Scleractinia; Pocilloporidae
Description: rRNA-processing protein UTP23 homolog, transcript variant X2
Source: RNAcentral